Molecule: ribosomal RNA, 833 nt
Filed under: uncultured Staphylococcus sp.
Lineage: Bacteria; Bacillati; Bacillota; Bacilli; Caryophanales; Staphylococcaceae
Description: bacterial SSU rRNA
Rfam family: Bacterial small subunit ribosomal RNA
Source: RNAcentral
AGGAGCUUGCUCCUCUGACGUUAGCGGCGGACGGGUGAGUAACACGUGGAUAACCUACCUAUAAGACUGGGAUAACUUCGGGAAACCGGAGCUAAUACCGGAUAAUAUAUUGAACCGCAUGGUUCAAUAGUGAAAGACGGUUUUGCUGUCACUUAUAGAUGGAUCCGCGCCGCAUUAGCUAGUUGGUAAGGUAACGGCUUACCAAGGCGACGAUGCGUAGCCGACCUGAGAGGGUGAUCGGCCACACUGGAACUGAGACACGGUCCAGACUCCUACGGGAGGCAGCAGUAGGGAAUCUUCCGCAAUGGGCGAAAGCCUGACGGAGCAACGCCGCGUGAGUGAUGAAGGUCUUAGGAUCGUAAAACUCUGUUAUUAGGGAAGAACAAACGUGUAAGUAACUGUGCACGUCUUGACGGUACCUAAUCAGAAAGCCACGGCUAACUACGUGCCAGCAGCCGCGGUAAUACGUAGGUGGCCAAGCGUUAUCCGGAAUUAUUGGGCGUAAAGCGCGCGUAGGCGGUUUUUUAAGUCUGAUGUGAAAGCCCACGGCUCAACCGUGGAGGGUCAUUGGAAACUGGAAAACUUGAGUGCAGAAGAGGAAAGUGGAAUUCCAUGUGUAGCGGUGAAAUGCGCAGAGAUAUGGAGGAACACCAGUGGCGAAGGCGACUUUCUGGUCUGUAACUGACGCUGAUGUGCGAAAGCGUGGGGAUCAAACAGGAUUAGAUACCCUGGUAGUCCACGCCGUAAACGAUGAGUGCUAAGUGUUAGGGGGUUUCCGCCCCUUAGUGCUGCAGCUAACGCAUUAAGCACUCCGCCUGGGGAGUACGACCGCA